GGUAACAGAUGUUUUCAAGAUUCUGAUUGUCCACAAAAUAUGUGCUCUCCUCCUUUUAAACCGGGGUGUUUUUAUGGGUGGUGUGUACCAGAGUUAAUCUUAGAAUGAUGCUAUAGAUUCUAGAUGUUUUCUCUUUGGGUCCCCGAUGUAUCUUUUAUAUCCCAAAUAUUCCAAUUUUGCCCUUGAUAAAAUCUUCGGUUCGCAGAAACCGAAGUUUUUUCUAGUUCAAAUUCAGGAAAAUUUUGGUUAACAGAAACUGUAUUUUUUUUUUCAAGGCAAAGAAAAUUCGAUUCGUAGAAACCGAAAUUUUUAUUGAAGGACAAAAAAGUAAAAUCCAGAUGAUGAAAAAGAACCAUGAAGGCCUAAAGAGAAAACAUCUAGAUUCUAUAUAUGAGUGCCAAAAUCAAGAGAGUUGUACACAACAGGCUUGUAGAAUUGCUAAAAAAAAAAAGGCUUGUAGAAUACUUCUAUGAGUUAUCAUUUAGUUAUUACGUCACUCAUUUAACACUUGUAUGACUCUAUGAACUAAGCUUAGUGUGUGUUUGGUUUCACGUUUGGAAGUCUAGACGCGCGUUUGAUUUGCCUCCACCAUGAAAAGUGAAAAAAAAAUUAUAUUUGGCUUUGUCAUUCAGAAUCAAUUCAAGGGAUCCAAAAU
Molecule: long non-coding RNA, 655 nt
Filed under: Trifolium pratense (red clover)
Lineage: Eukaryota; Viridiplantae; Streptophyta; Magnoliopsida; Fabales; Fabaceae
Description: long non-coding RNA (TPRA_LNC011554)
Source: RNAcentral